Molecule: small RNA, 132 nt
Filed under: Salmonella enterica
Lineage: Bacteria; Pseudomonadati; Pseudomonadota; Gammaproteobacteria; Enterobacterales; Enterobacteriaceae
Also listed under: 1 other name
Description: RtT sRNA
Rfam family: RtT RNA
About the family: This family represents a bacterial cis-regulatory element known as RtT RNA. The exact function of RtT is unknown although it is thought that it may be involved in changing the cellular response in relation to amino acid starvation.
Source: RNAcentral
AUAUCUCUCCGUACGGGAAGGAUGAGAAGCUUCGACUAAGGUUCGAUUCGAGCGCAGCGAGAACGCGUUGCCGCAGGCAACGACCCGAAGGGCGAAGCGCGCAGCGCUGAGUCAUCCUUCCCCCCACCACCA